GCCGGCUUAGCUUAAUGGUAGAGCAUUUGAUUUGUAAUUAAAAAGUCAUAGGUUCAAAUCCUAUAGCCGGCA
Transfer RNA from Candidatus Nasuia deltocephalinicola str. NAS-ALF, 72 nucleotides. It matches the Rfam family "tRNA". Rfam says of the family: Transfer RNA (tRNA) molecules are approximately 80 nucleotides in length. The record is from Rfam. Lineage: Bacteria; Pseudomonadati; Pseudomonadota; Betaproteobacteria.